GACGAACGCUGGCGGCGUGCUUAACACAUGCAAGUCGAACGGAAAGGCCCUGCUUUUGUGGGGUGCUCGAGUGGCGUACGGGUGAGUAACACGUGAGUAACCUGCCCUUGACUUUGGGAUAACUUCAGGAAACUGGGGCUAAUACCGGAUAGGAGCUCCUGCUGCAUGGUGGGGGUUGGAAAGUUUCGGCGGUUGGGGAUGGACUCGCGGCUUAUCAGCUUGUUGGUGGGGUAGUGGCUUACCAAGGCUUUGACGGGUAGCCGGCCUGAGAGGGUGACCGGCCACAUUGGGACUGAGAUACGGCCCAGACUCCUACGGGAGGCAGCAGUGGGGAAUAUUGCACAAUGGGCGGAAGCCUGAUGCAGCAACGCCGCGUGCGGGAUGACGGCCUUCGGGUUGAAAACCGCUUUCGCCUGUGACGAAGCGUGAGUGACGGUAAUGGGUAAAGAAGCACCGGCUAACUACGUG
Molecule: ribosomal RNA, 468 nt
Filed under: uncultured bacterium
Lineage: Bacteria
Description: partial 16S ribosomal RNA
Rfam family: Bacterial small subunit ribosomal RNA
Source: RNAcentral